Molecule: small nucleolar RNA, 96 nt
Organism: Ziziphus jujuba (common jujube)
Lineage: Eukaryota; Viridiplantae; Streptophyta; Magnoliopsida; Rosales; Rhamnaceae
Product: small nucleolar RNA Z221/R21b
Exons: 1
Source: RefSeq, a predicted model, not a curated record
AGGCAGUGAUGAGUAAUUGAGAUAGUCAUGCACCACUCUGAUGAUUUCUUCUAAUCUGUGCUGAUCAAUUUCUCAUACCCAUAUUUCUCUGAGCCU